GAAAUGCGAUACUUAGUGUGAAUUGCAGAAUUCAGUGAAUCAUCGAGACCUUGAACGCAAACUGCGCCUGCCGGUCCUCCGGCAGGCACGCCUGUUCGAGUGUUGGCUUAACAUCAAACUCUUCCCUCCGGCGAACGCGUCGGAGGGGGGGAUGGUGAGGGUCGACCUUCUCCUCAAGGAGAGGGCCGUCCCUCGAAACGAAGGCGGAGAAGGCGGCGGACCGGAUUGCCUGGUCGGCGGAUUGACAUCCUUGCGAUGAUCCGUCGUCGGCCUCGUGAACUCCAGAGUCCGACGUCUUCCUUCCGACGAAGGAACUCUCCAAGGAGAGAAUCAAAAAACUUCAACCUCGAAUCAGGCGGGAUUACCCGCUGAAUUUAA
This 378-nucleotide unclassified non-coding RNA is filed under the name uncultured Ascomycota. RNAcentral describes it as "sequence contains ITS1". The stretch from base 1 to 105 matches the Rfam family "5.8S ribosomal RNA", at positions 50 to 154 of the family's 154-position model. The record is from RNAcentral. Lineage: Eukaryota; Fungi; Ascomycota.